Octopus sinensis (East Asian common octopus) is the source of this 646-nucleotide long non-coding RNA. RefSeq lists it as uncharacterized. The transcript is spliced from 3 exons. Lineage: Eukaryota; Metazoa; Mollusca; Cephalopoda; Octopoda; Octopodidae. The record is from RefSeq and is a predicted model, not a curated record.
UAAAUGUUGUUAUGGUAACUCUCUGUGGUAUAUAGAAAAACCUACAAUAGCUAAAGCCAGUUUGGCAUCAGAAUGACAAAAAACGAUUUUCAUCAUAGUUAAUGCUUAGUAACAUAUUUGAGAGAAAUAAGUUUAUUGAGGCAACACAAACGAAGACAAAAGAAGACAAACGGAGAGUAAUACAAAACAUGGUCUCCUAUUUAGAGAGCUCUCCUUCAAGAAAGUUUUUCCCUUUAUUAAAUAUCUAAACGUAAAUAGAACAGAUGAAGUUUUGCAACAGCAUGAUUAAAAUUUGUGAGGUGCAACAGAAAUGGUUUUAGAACUGCCUUAAUCUCGAAGAAAACUGUGCUACGAUGAACAGUUUGAUAUGCAAAAUGUAAAUAAAUCCUGACGCCCGGCGCAACAGAAGAUAAAUGAUGACGUGUGAGCGGGUUUGCAGCGGUCAAAUGAACCGCGGAGAUGACAGAGCCACCGACUGAAUGCCUUGCAGUCAACAUUUUAUGUUGUGUCUUGUGAUUUUAUUGAGAUCCUCCUCCUCCUAACAUGAGUAUCAGUGACGUAAUCAGAUCAAAAGUAAGUGGCCUUGUGCAUUAGCAAGAAAUCAAUAAAUAUUCUACAGGAGGAAAACGUUGGAGUUAUGCAAACA